This 300-nucleotide long non-coding RNA is filed under the name Nicotiana benthamiana. Its description in RNAcentral is "long non-coding RNA (NBEN_LNC005973)". The record is from RNAcentral. Lineage: Eukaryota; Viridiplantae; Streptophyta; Magnoliopsida; Solanales; Solanaceae.
CUUAGGAAGAGGUCUGGUCUCAAAUAGGUCUGAGCCAUAGCUAGGCUCUUAAAGCUUGAACACGUCGGAGCACGGUCAAAGAGGCCAUAGAACCACAAAACUAUGGAGGAUCUGCUUGAACACCAUCGAGGUCGGACCUCGGUAUCUCGAACAACCAAGGCUUGAGGGGAGGGAAGGUGAGCACAUGUUAUCCAUGGCUUGAGAAGCCAUGGACUCCGGUGAGAUUAGUAGGAGAGCACGAGGGAGGCGAUUAAGGUUUCGAGUGUUUGAGAGAAUUUUAGAGAGAAGGGGAGUUUGGGG